GUCCCGCCUGCCCGUGACUUAGUUUAACGGCCGCGGUAUCUUGACCGUGCAAAGGUAGCAUAAUCAAUUGUUCUUUAAAUAAGGACUAGUAUGAACGGCAUCACGAGGGUUUAACUGUCUCCCUAAUUUAAUUAAUGAAAUUGAUCUUCCCGUGAAGAAGCGGGAAUAUAGUUAUAAGACGAAAAGACCCCAUGGAGCUUUAAAUUUAUUCUCAAUUACCAAACCCAAAACAUAUACCUGGUAAAAAUGAUUAUAAUUUUCGGUUGGGGCGACCCUGGAGAAAAAUUAAUCCUCCAAGCUGAAUAGAUUAAAAAUCUAAUGUUAGAGUGACAACUCAAAUAAUCAAAACCUUGACAAAAUGACCCAGAACAUAUCUGAUCAACGAACCAAGUUACCCUGGGGAUAACAGCGCAAUCCAUUUCAAGAGCCCUUAUCGACAAAUGGGUUUACGACCUCGAUGUUGGAUCGGGAUAUCCUAGCAGCGCAGCCGUUGCUUAAGGUUCGUUUGUUCAACGAUUAAUAAUCCCACGUGAUCUGAKUUCAGACCGGA
Molecule: ribosomal RNA, 550 nt
Filed under: Hyperolius viridiflavus (common reed frog)
Lineage: Eukaryota; Metazoa; Chordata; Amphibia; Anura; Hyperoliidae
Description: partial large subunit ribosomal RNA
Rfam family: Bacterial large subunit ribosomal RNA
Source: RNAcentral